RNAcentral lists this transfer RNA (73 nucleotides) under Rattus norvegicus (Norway rat). It matches the Rfam family "tRNA". Rfam says of the family: Transfer RNA (tRNA) molecules are approximately 80 nucleotides in length. Their secondary structure includes four short double-helical elements and three loops (D, anti-codon, and T loops). Further hydrogen bonds mediate the characteristic L-shaped molecular structure. tRNAs have two regions of fundamental functional importance: the anti-codon, which is responsible for specific mRNA codon recognition, and the 3' end, to which the tRNAs corresponding amino acid is attached (by aminoacyl-tRNA synthetases). tRNAs cope with the degeneracy of the genetic code in two manners: having more than one tRNA (with a specific anti-codon) for a particular amino acid; and 'wobble' base-pairing, i.e. permitting non-standard base-pairing at the 3rd anti-codon position. The record is from Rfam by way of RNAcentral. Lineage: Eukaryota; Metazoa; Chordata; Mammalia; Rodentia; Muridae.
UGGGAUGUAGUUCAGCUGGUACAGUGCUUGCCUAGCAUGCAUGAGGCCCUGGGUUCAGUCCCCAGGACCCCAA